GUCAAGUCAGCAUGGCCUUUAUGUCCGGGGCUACACACGUGCUACAAUGGUCGGUACAAAGGGUCGCCAACCCGCGAGGGGGAGCCAAUCCCAAAAAGCCGAUCGUAGUCCGGAUCGCAGUCUGCAACUCGACUGCGUGAAGUCGGAAUCGCUAGUAAUCGUGAAUCAGCGAUGUCACGGUGAAUACGUUCCCGGGUCUU
This 200-nucleotide ribosomal RNA is filed under the name uncultured organism. RNAcentral describes it as "partial small subunit ribosomal RNA". It matches the Rfam family "Bacterial small subunit ribosomal RNA", at positions 1184 to 1382 of the family's 1533-position model. The record is from RNAcentral.